Molecule: unclassified non-coding RNA, 340 nt
Filed under: uncultured fungus
Lineage: Eukaryota; Fungi
Description: partial contains 5.8S ribosomal RNA, internal transcribed spacer 2, and large subunit ribosomal RNA
Source: RNAcentral
AACGCAUAUGGCACCCGAGACCUCGGUCAAGGGUAUGUCUGCCUCAGAGUCGGCGUAAAACAACUCCCCUGUUGGCUCACAGCGAGCCCAUCAAGGGGGAACUGAUCUUCCCGCACCGCCGGUGCGGGUUGGUCGAAGGAGAGAAACGGGUGUGGGUGGCCGGGUCCGUUUCCUGGCUGACCGAGAUUUGUUGGAAGGACUAUCGUCCGAUCUUCGUCUCGGGACAGGGGAGGCACCAUCCCGCCAGCCUAGCCCGCAAUGCAGGAAAACGUGGUCGUGCUCCGACACCGACCCCUUUGCAUCCGACCUGAGUUCAGGCAAGAUCACCCGCUGAACUUAA